GAAAGUGGGCUUUUACCUGAAUGAAGGCUCUGGCUCAGCUUCUGUGGUUUGGCACAUCCCAGAAAAGGAAACGGGCCACCCAGCUUUCUGGCCUGAGUCUUGUUUCUCACCUGCCUAAGGGAUCAGGCACUGAAGCCAAGGGCCCAAGUUCUUAUGCUGAUGGAUGGACAGGCCUUUCCCUUUCCCCUACCCUCUACCCCUGCUCCAGAGAAGGAGAAACGAGACAGCCAGGUCAUCAUCGACAAUCUGCGGGACAUGCUGGAAGAACGCAAUGCUACUGUGGUAUCUCUGCAGCAGGCCUUGGGCAAGGCCGAGAUGCUGUGCUCUACAUUGAAAAAGCAGAUGAAGUACUUGGAGCAGCAGCAGGAUGAGACCAAACAAGCCCAAGAGGAGGCCCGCCGACUCAGGAGCAAGAUGAAGACCAUGGAGCAGUGAGUUUGGAGCUGGGUCCUGCACUGUGCCUUUGCCCCCAGGCCCUGCAAGUUCUUAGGACUGCAGCAGGGAGUGGGAUUGGGUCAUGUCCGAGGCUCAAAUCUCCAUAGGCCAUGGAGGGCUCAGGUCAGCUGGGUGUGGGCACAGAUCUUAGCCUCUAUGAACUCUUCCACCAUUCCAAGGAAUGGGAGCCCUUGCCACAUUCCUCCCUGUCUCUGUUGCCUGUGGCCAGAUGACCUGGUGGGUUUUUCCCUUCAGGAACCUCUCUCCGGGAGAUCCCUGACCUUGAGACCCUCUUUCAGCACCUCUUCUUUCUCAGCAGCAUCCUUGGAGCUAUGCUUAUCUCUGCCGUGGGGCCUUUGCUUGGGCACACCCACCUGCUAAACAUCCUAGCAGCCUAGCCUGUUACCUUAGCAACGGCAGCAAAGGAAGGCAGAGCUGCACUGGGUACCUACCCAUCAGCCUCCAGAUUGCAAAUGCCGUGGGCUGGGUGUGUUUUUCAGGAUUGAGCUUCUACUCCAGAGCCAGCGCCCAGAGGUGGAGGAGAUGAUCCGAGACAUGGGUGUGGGACAGUCAGCGGUGGAACAGCUGGCUGUGUACUGUGUGUCUCUCAAGAAGUGCGUACUCUGGCCCCUCUCAGCAAACACGGGAGAUAGGCCAUGGGGCUCCUGCCAUGUCAUUGCUUCCCAUCUCUUGUAAAGCAGAUGGAGCUAAGGGGCAAACUCUGGAGCCAUGCUGCCUUUGAACCCUGAUUCCACCUCUCCGCACCUAUGUGGCCUGGUGCCAGUUUCUUGGCUUCUUUGACCUUCAACUUCCUGAAUGGAGAUAGUAGUAGACCUGCCUCAUAGGAUUGUUGAG
RNAcentral lists this long non-coding RNA (1290 nucleotides) under Rhinopithecus bieti (black snub-nosed monkey). Its description in RNAcentral is "lncRNA (ENSRBIG00000046311.1)". The record is from RNAcentral. Lineage: Eukaryota; Metazoa; Chordata; Mammalia; Primates; Cercopithecidae.